AUUUUGUGUUUUAAAGUCCAAAAAGUAUUUUAUAUGAAUAUUUCAAAAAUCACCCAAAACAUGCCUUACUAUAGCCUUACAUCCUGAAAAUAUCCAUAAAAAUAAAAAGUCCCAGAAAUGGUCAUUUUUGAUCUACUCAUGUAAGCAAAACAUUUUUUUUGUUACCGGAAAUUAACAGUGUUGUGAAAUGUUUACAGGACAUCGGGGCUGGAAAGAGCAAAUACUACACCGUGAAUUACCCACGAAGCCGUCUUUAAACCGUUUGAGCGCAUGACCAAAGAACAGCCUGUGAGGAGGAGGUCCAGGAAUGGUGCCAACCAAGGGGGGGAAAAGGAAGCAGAAGAGGUCAAAAGAAGAGGUUUAAUGAAGUUGUUCCACUCCUGAUGAUGGACCUUUGUUGAAUCCUGUGAGCACACGUGGUUGACAGAAGUAGCGUUGUGAGUGCAGCAGCUCCACGACGCCAAGAAGUUUGAGGCAUCUGGUUUCUGUUACGUGAACGACAUCGCCAUGGCCAUUUCUGAGCUUUUCAGGACAUCGGGCUGGAAAGAGCAAAUACUUCGCAGUGAAUUACCCACGACGCCAUCUUUAAACCGUUUGAGCCCCGAAGAAUAGCAUGUGAGAGGGAGGUCCAGGAAUGCUGCCAACCAAGGGGAAAAAGGAAGCAGAAGAGAGGCAACCUGUGGAUGAUUGACUAGAGCCAGAACAAGUAGUAGUGUUAUUGCAUUUACUUUGUCUUUGUGCUAGAUGGAGAGUUGUUUUUAAUUUAACCAAAUAAAGUAUUUGUUAUUGAAUUGUUUCAUGUAGUCAUUGUUGAAUGUGGAAUUCUUUAGAGUACUAAGUAGUGGUUAAUUGAAGCACUGUGUAACAUGCUAGUGCUAAACACUUUGAACAUGGUGUAGUCAUCUGAGAGUGUUUGUAUGUAAUGUCUUUAUUUCAUCUUGUUUGAGUUCAAAAGAAGACGUUUAAUGAAGUUGUUCCACUCCUGAUGAUGGACCUUUGUUGAAUCCUGUGAGCACACGUGUUAGACAGUAGUGUUAGUAUGUAAUCGGUCCAUCUUUACCUGAAGUGCUAAAGCUAAAAAUUGCUGUUGUAAUUUGACAUUAAGUGUAUCUAUGGACUUGUUGUGAUUAAAUGCAAAGUGUUUAGCUAUUGAGUAAAGUUCUAUUCUUUGUGCCUCCCCUGAUAUUGUUGUUAAUAAAUGUGCAAUGGAGGAGAAGACGGACACAGCAGCUUGGACUCUGCCAGGUAGAGUGAAGGAGCAACUUUAUUUGAAGCAGAUCACUUGUUGUUUGCUGUACUUGAAUGUUUUACUGAAUUGUAAUGACUUUAUUGUGUAACUUGAUUGCUAUGCUAUUGUCAUUAACAGAUUUUUGACUUAGAGUUUUUUUUUAGUUCAUUUAUUUGUAUGUAAUUUAGUUAAUUUAACUUAUGUAGUGCAAUCAUUGUAUAACUUGAUUGCUAUGCAGUUGUCUAACAGUUUUUUUUUGACUUGGUGUUUUUAGUUAAUUUUAUUUUGUACUUAGUAUUUCUUUAGCUCUAUUUAAAUUGUAUGUAGUGCAAUCAUUGUGUAACUCGAGCUUCCAAUAAACAGUUGGACCAUUGUGUGCAUUCAUUUCAAGAUAUUGAGCAAAUACGAAUGGAGUUUCUCGUUGCCUUUUAGGGCAUGCAUUGUCAAACUCAUUCAUAUUUGCUUAGUAUCUUGAAAUGAAUGCACACAAUGGUCCAACACUGUUUAAUUGUAAGGUUUACAACACAGCUCAAGUUACACAAUGAUUGCACUACAUAACUAACAACAAUAAAGCUCAAGAAAUAUACUAAGUACAAAAAAAUGUUAGACAACUGCAUAGCAAUCAAGUUACACAAUGAUUCCACUACACAAGU
Cynoglossus semilaevis (tongue sole) is the source of this 1881-nucleotide long non-coding RNA. RefSeq lists it as uncharacterized. Lineage: Eukaryota; Metazoa; Chordata; Actinopteri; Pleuronectiformes; Cynoglossidae. The transcript has 6 exons. The record is from RefSeq and is a predicted model, not a curated record.